AGUGAACGCUGGCGGUAGGCCUAACACAUGCAAGUCGAACGGCAGCACAGUAAGAGCUUGCUCUUACGGGUGGCGAGUGGCGGACGGGUGAGGAAUACAUCGGAAUCUACUUUUUCGUGGGGGAUAACGUAGGGAAACUUACGCUAAUACCGCAUACGACCUACGGGUGAAAGCAGGGGAUCUUCGGACCUUGCGCGAUUGAAUGAGCCGAUGUCGGAUUAGCUAGUUGGAGGGUAAAGGCCCACCAAGGCGACGAUCCGUAGCUGGUCUGAGAGGAUGAUCAGCCACACUGGAACUGAGACACGGUCCAGACUCCUACGGGAGGCAGCAGUGGGGAAUAUUGGACAAUGGGCGCAAGCCUGAUCCAGCCAUACCGCGUGGGUGAAGAAGGCCUUCGGGUUGUAAAGCCCUUUUGUUGGGAAAGAAAAGCAGCAGGUUAAUACCCCGCUGUUCUGACGGUACCCAAAGAAUAAGCACCGGCUAACUUCGUG
This 491-nucleotide ribosomal RNA is filed under the name uncultured bacterium. RNAcentral describes it as "partial 16S ribosomal RNA". It matches the Rfam family "Bacterial small subunit ribosomal RNA", at positions 29 to 507 of the family's 1533-position model. The record is from RNAcentral.